CUGGUUAAUUCCGAUAACGAACGAGAUCUUAACCUGCUAAUUAGCGGCGAGUACGCUAUAUCCUUUAUCGGGGGAUUGGUUUUGACGUUUUUGCGGUCAUACUGCUUAAUCAAUUGGUUUACCUUUUGCUCUUUUGCGGUAUGUUUCUCGCAUCUUCGACAUGCCUCUCUUCUGAUAAGGAUGUAUUCGCUUUAUUUAAUGCUUCUU
RNAcentral lists this ribosomal RNA (207 nucleotides) under Plasmodium yoelii. RNAcentral describes it as "partial 18S rRNA". The record is from RNAcentral. Lineage: Eukaryota; Apicomplexa; Aconoidasida; Haemosporida; Plasmodiidae.